GAUGAAGAACGCAGCGAAAUGCGAUAAGUAAUGUGAAUUGCAGAAUUCAGUGAAUCAUCGAAUCUUUGAACGCACAUUGCGCACAUUAGCAUUCUAGUGGGCAUGCCUGUUCGAGUGUCAUUUCAACCCUUAAGCCCUGUUGCUUAGCGUUGGGAGCCUACAGUACUGUAGCUCCCCAAAGUUAGUGGCGGAGUCGGUUUCACACUCUAGACGUAGUAAUUUUUUCUCGUCUGUAGUUGAGCCGGUCCCCUGCCGUAAAACACCCAAUUUAUCAAGGUUGACCUCGGAUCAGGUAGGAAUACCCGCUGAACUUAAGCAUAUCAAUAAGCGGAGGA
This 335-nucleotide unclassified non-coding RNA is filed under the name soil metagenome. RNAcentral describes it as "partial contains 5.8S ribosomal RNA, internal transcribed spacer 2, and large subunit ribosomal RNA". The stretch from base 1 to 120 matches the Rfam family "5.8S ribosomal RNA", at positions 35 to 154 of the family's 154-position model. The record is from RNAcentral.